GAUGAACGCUGGCGGCGUGCCUAAUACAUGCAAGUCGAGCGAACGGACGAUAAGCUUUCUUCUCUGAUGUUAGCGGCGGACGGGCGAGUAACACGUGGAUAACCAACCUAUAAGACUUGGAUAACUUCGGGAAACCGGAGCUAAUACCGGCUAAUAUUUUGAACCGCAUGGUUCAAAAGUGAAAGACGGUCUUGCUGUCACUUAUAGAUGGUUCCGCGCUGCAUUAGCUAGUUGGUAAGGUAACGGCUUACCAAGGCAACGAUGCGUAGCCGACCUGAGAGGAUGAUCGGCCACACUGGAACUGAGACACGGUCCAGACUCCUACGGGAGGCAGCAGUAGGGAAUCUUGCGCAAUGGGCGAAAGCCUGACGGAGCAACGCCGCGUGAGUGAUGAAGGUCUUCGGAUCGUAAAACUCUGUUAUUAGGGAAGAACAGAUGUGUAAGUAACUGUGCACAUCUUGACGGUACCUAAUCAGAAAGCAACGGCUAACUACGUG
Molecule: ribosomal RNA, 497 nt
Filed under: uncultured bacterium
Lineage: Bacteria
Description: partial 16S ribosomal RNA
Rfam family: Bacterial small subunit ribosomal RNA
Source: RNAcentral